Molecule: unclassified non-coding RNA, 232 nt
Filed under: Hevea brasiliensis (rubber tree)
Lineage: Eukaryota; Viridiplantae; Streptophyta; Magnoliopsida; Malpighiales; Euphorbiaceae
Source: RNAcentral
AUCAUUUGGUGGAAUGUAUCAUCUUACGAUACAGUAUGAUUUAUGUAUUACACCUUCUCAAAUAUCGUCAAGGGUAAGUCAACAUUCGGAUUUUAUUGUUAGAGUGUAGGCCAUAUUGCGAGGCUUCCCUUCAAUUGCACGACAUCAUGUACUCAUAUGCUGCAUUCUGGGGUUGAGUUAUGGUGCACAUGCUGCUCAACCUUGACUAAAUAGAUAUAAGGCUGUGCAUCUA